Molecule: long non-coding RNA, 697 nt
Filed under: Homo sapiens (human)
Lineage: Eukaryota; Metazoa; Chordata; Mammalia; Primates; Hominidae
Description: long non-coding RNA NONHSAT204712.1
Source: RNAcentral
GGCAAUGGCUGAAAAUGGAGAUGAACAGGAGUGUGGUGCCUGCCUGAGAGCCAGAGUUUCACUCUCAGAGGAGGAUUUUGUUCUUCAAUUGUGGAGUGAUCUCUAUCACCAGUGACUAAAGAUGUUGGAGCACAGAGAGCCAUACCCCAAAAUAUGAUGCUUCGGCAUGCUGACUGCUUUGAAAAUUGAAAGGCCUCAGAAAUAAUCCUCAGUGCCAGGGUCUCCCUCUGACCUCCCCCUACCUCCCUUUCUCUCUGAUCCUGUCUCUCCCAAAGCACAGAAUGAAGCUGUUCUCUGAAUUCCCUUAUCUACCUAGAAACUGGACCCCCAAAGAGGAACACAAUUUGCCUUUGAUCCCUUCCCUGAAAUUUCAUUAACCAGAGAAAAUUAAAACUUCUAUCACAAAGGAAGAGACUGAACAUUAAACACCAUAGCUACAGCCCAGACAAACUUCUUCCCAAACCAUUGUUUGUUCUCCUGCCUGUUAAAUUGCCAGAGAAUCAUUCACAAGAUAAAGUCUGCCUUCUGGGUCCAUUCAUUCCCCACUAAAAAUCUUUUACUCCUACACCCUCAUGUCUCCUUCCUCCAUGAAGAAGGGUCUAUAAACCUCUAGGCCUCAUUGGGUUAUUGGGUAAUCAUUCUCAUGCAGUUCCCCUGUGCUCUGCAUGUUAAAUAAAUUUGUAUGCCUUUUUCUCCU